UUAUGAAGAUAACUAUUAUAUUAUGACCGAUACAUAGGAUGAGAAGUAUCAGAGGUAGAUAAAAUAUGAAGUGGAUAAAAUAAGGAUCAUGGUUACUUAAUACUACAAAGAUUGAGUGCAAUAGUAUUUCAUAGAUUCACAAGAAUGAGUAAUUUGUUUAUAUCGAGGUGAAGUAAAACAAACAAUGGUAACAUAAGGAAAAAAACUAAGAAAGGAUAAUUUAUAUUGAUUAAUAUUAAGUAAUGGUAUACAUUAAGAAUGCCUUGGAUAUGAGAGAUCCAAGAGGAAUUGAAUUGAAGGAGUAUAGUACACAAUUAUAUUUGACCUAAGUCCAUAAAAGGUAUGAACUAGGGAGAAUAGGUUACUGG
Pelobates cultripes (western spadefoot toad) is the source of this 368-nucleotide non-coding RNA. NCBI's taxonomy places the organism in Eukaryota, Metazoa, Chordata, Amphibia, Anura, Pelobatidae. The record is from the annotation of a GenBank genome assembly.